RNAcentral lists this long non-coding RNA (1898 nucleotides) under Schizosaccharomyces pombe (fission yeast). Lineage: Eukaryota; Fungi; Ascomycota; Schizosaccharomycetes; Schizosaccharomycetales; Schizosaccharomycetaceae. The record is from RNAcentral.
UUCUUUCCAAAUCACCAACAAACAAAUAGCAUUAGAUAAUUGCACCGAAAAUAACGAUUCAAGGACAUUUCAAAAUUAGCGAUUAUUUGGUCUGUAUUUGCAGCGUCAAAAAACUAAGAGCUUUCAGGAGUGUUGUCUAUAACAUCUUUGGAAGAUUCAGUAUAGGCAGAGGAUCUUGAAUAAUAUUGAUCCAAAAUCUUCUUAGGAAUACGAGUUAACAUCUCACGAGGGAAGAUGCGAAGGAGGGACCAAGCCAAAUCCAGUGUUUCAAAAAUAGUACGAUUCUCGUAAGCACCUUGACUAAUGAAAGUCUUUUCAAAUUUACCCAAAAAUUCAAGAGCAAGGCGAUCUUCUUGAGAAAGGGCUUCCUCGCCAACUACUGAUUUCAUGGAAGCAGCAUCACGACCGAUGGCAUACAUUGCAUACAGCUGGUUAGAAACAUCACCAUGAUCAUUUCUAGUCAUUCCUUCACCAAUGGCAGACUUCAUCAGACGAGAAAGAGAGGGCAAAACAUUAAUGGGAGGAUAUAUGGCAUUGUUGUGAAGUUGACGAUCUACGAAAAUCUGACCCUCGGUAAUGUAACCAGUCAAAUCUGGAAUGGGAUGAGUAAUAUCUAAGAAAAAAUUAGCAAUUAAAAAAAAGAUUUACAAAAACAUACCGUCAUUAGGCAUAGUCAAAAUAGGAAUUUGAGUAAUUGAACCGUUACGACCCUCCACACGACCGGCACGUUCGUAAAUAGUAGACAAGUCAGUAUACAUAUAACCAGGAUAACCACGACGUCCGGGAACUUCCUCUCGAGCAGCUGAAACUUCACGAAGAGCAUCUGCGUAAGAAGUCAUGUCGGUAAGAAUAGUAAGAACGUGCUUUUCAGUUUGAUAAGCCAAAAAUUCAGAUGCUGAAAGAGCAAGACGAGGAGUAAUGAUACGUUCAAUUGUGGGGUCAUUGGCCAAGUUAAGGAAAAGGGUAACACGCUCAAAAGAUCCAUUUUCUUCGAAAUCACGUUGGAAGAAACGGGCGGUUUCUAAAUUAACACCCAUUGCUGCAAACACGAUGGAAAAGUUAUCUUCAUGACCAUCGUGAACAUCUUUAGUAGGACGUUUUACAAGACCGGCCUGACGACAAAUUUGAGCAGCGAUUUCAUUGUGGGGAAGACCAGCAGCAGAAAAGAUAGGAAUCUUUUGACCACGAGCAAUACUAUUUAAACCAUCAAUCGAAGAUAUACCAGUUUGAAUCAUCUCCUCGGGAUAAAUACGGGCAUAAGGAUUGAUAGGAGAACCAUUGAUAUCAAGAUAAUCUUCAGCAAGCAAGUUGGGUCCUUUAUCAAUUGGUAAACCAGAACCAUUGAAAACACGACCAAGCAUAUCUUCUGAAACAGGGAUACGCAUGGAAUGACCAGUAAAAUCAAUGGUAGUUUUUCUAACAUCGACUCCAGAAGUGCCUUCGAAAACUUGUACAAUGGCUUUAUGACCUGCAACUUCUAAGACUUGACCAGAACGAACGGAACCAUCCUAUUAAUUAGCAUUAAUAAAGUAACGAAAUAAGAAACAGAAGACAUUAAGAAACACAUCUUCCAAGAUAUAUAAUUUCUCAAGGGCACUUACCGGUAGGUUUAGAUUAACAAUCUCAUUGUACUGAGGUCUACGAAUGUUGCUAUAGCAGAGUUAGCAAUAAUUCAUCAAAGUACGGCUAAAAGGCUCAGAAAACGUACUCUAAAAUUACUAGAGGACCAGUAAUAGAAUUUACAGUAUUGUAAGAGAGUCGAGGUUUUAUGGAAUAAUCCCUAAAUUGUUAAUACAGGCAUUCGUAAAAUUUUACACUUACUUUACAGCAGCAGCUGCAUUGAUAUCAAAGAGCGACGCCAUGUUAACGAUUUUCUGGAGAACUAGAGGUUCAGGCAG